This 297-nucleotide ribosomal RNA is filed under the name uncultured bacterium. RNAcentral's name for it is "partial 16S ribosomal RNA". It matches the Rfam family "Bacterial small subunit ribosomal RNA", at positions 28 to 334 of the family's 1533-position model. The record is from RNAcentral.
GAUGAACGCUGACAGAAUGCUUAACACAUGCAAGUCUACUUGAUCCUUCGGGUGAUAGUGGCGGACGGGUGAGUAACGCGUGAGCAACCUGCCUUUCAGUGGGGGACAACAGUUGGAAACGACUGCUAAUACCGCAUAAUGCAUUUAGGGGGCAUCCCCUGAAUGCCAAAGCUUUAUGUGCUGAAAGAUGGUCUCGCGUCUGAUUAGCUAGUUGGUGGGGUAACGGCCCACCAAGGCGGCGAUCAGUAGCCGGUCUGAGAGGAUGAACGGCCACAUUGGGACUGAGAUACGGCCCAG